AAGGUUUCCGUAGGUGAACCUGCGGAAGGAUCAUUAUUGAACAAACCGGUGUUGGCUGAGCUGGCCUCUUUGGAGGCAUGUGCACGGUCCACCAUUGUUUCAUCCUUCUCUUCCACCUGUGCACUUCUGUGGGCCCACUCCAGCACACUUUGUGCGCUGGAAUCUGGCGCCUACGUUUUACUACCCACACCAUUGAAUGUUAAGAACGCAUGAAUAGGGCAUUUGCCCAUAAAACCUUAUACAACUUUCAACAACGGAUCUCUUGGCUCUCGCAUCGAUGAAGAACGCAGCGAAAUGCGAUAAGUAAUGUGAAUUGCAGAAUUCAGUGAAUCAUCGAAUCUUUGAACGCACCUUGCGCUCCUUGGCAUUCCGAGGAGCAUGCCUGUUUGAGUGUCAUUAAAUCAUCAACCACCUCAUCUUUUGAGAGGGUUGGACUUGGAGGUUCUGCUGGCCCCGUUCUCUGGGACCGGCUCCUCUGAAAUGCAUUAGCAGGGGUUCAUCUUGGCGAUCUGCAGCCUAGUGUGAUAGUCAUAUCUACACUUGGAGAGGUCCCCAUUCACCCAGCUUCCAGCCGUCCGCUUUUGUGGACAACACCUGACCACUUGACCUCAAAUCAGGUAGGACUACCCGCUGAACUUAAGCAUAUC
RNAcentral lists this ribosomal RNA (647 nucleotides) under Pluteus aff. semibulbosus TNSF12393. Its description in RNAcentral is "eukaryotic LSU rRNA". The stretch from base 243 to 396 matches the Rfam family "5.8S ribosomal RNA". The record is from RNAcentral. Lineage: Eukaryota; Fungi; Basidiomycota; Agaricomycetes; Agaricales; Pluteaceae.